AACAAGGUCUCCGUUGGUGAACCAGCGGAGGGAUCAUUAGAGAGUGCCCUACUCCCAAAACCCAUGUGAACUUACCUGUACGUUGCCUCGGCGGGGGAGGGGCUGGCCACCCCCCCUCCGCCAGGCGGCCCACCAAACCCUGUUUAGCCCUGAAUCUCUGAGACGAUAAAACAAUGAGUUAAAACUUUCAACAACGGAUCUCUUGGCUCUGGCAUCGAUGAAGAACGCAGCGAAAUGCGAUACGUAGUGUGAAUUGCAGAAUUUAGUGAAUCAUCGAAUCUUUGAACGCACAUUGCGCCCGCCAGUAUUCUGGCGGGCAUGCCUGUUCGAGCGUCAUUUCAACCCCUUAAGCCCUUGUCGCUUAGUGUUGGGAGCCGACGGCGUCCUGCCGUCGCUCCUCAAAUCCAGUGGCGGAGCCGGUUUCGCGCUCUGGGCGUAGUAGAUUUUCUCCAUCUCGCCUGCAGCCGGGGCCGGCCUCCCUGCCGUAAAACCACCACCAAUGUACCCAAAGGUUGACCUCGAAUCAGGUAGGAAUACCCGCUGAACUUAAGCAUAUCAAUAAGCGGAGGAAAAGAAACCAACAGGGAUUGCCCCAGUAACGGCGAGUGAAGCGGCAACAGCUCAAAUUUGAAAUCUGGCCCUCGGGUCCGAGUUGUAAUUUGUAGAGGAUGCUUUUGGCGCGGUGCCUUCCGAGUUCCCUGGAACGGGACGCCUUAGAGGGUGAGAGCCCCGUACGGUUGGACACCAAGCCUCUGUAAAGCGCCUUCGACGAGUCGAGUAGUUUGGGAAUGCUGCUCUAAAUGGGAGGUAAAUUUCUUCUAAAGCUAAAUAUUGGCCAGAGACCGAUAGCGCACAAGUAGAGUGAUCGAAAGAUGAAAAGCACUUUGAAAAGAGGGUUAAACAGCACGUGAAAUUGUUGAAAGGGAAGCGUUUGCGACCAGACCUCUCCCCGGCGGAUCAUCCGGCGUUCUCGCCGGUGCACUUCGCCGGGCUGAGGCCAGCAUCGGUUUCCGCGGGGGGACAAAAGCGGGGGGAACGUAGCUCCCUCGGGAGUGUUAUAGCCCCCCGCAUAAUACCCUCGCGGGGACCGAGGACCGCGCUUCGGCAAGGAUGCUGGCGUAAUGGUCGUCAACGACCCGUCUUGAAACACGGACCAAGGAGUCGAACAUUUGUGCGAGUGUUUGGGUGUCAAACCCUCACGCGUAAUGAAGGUGAACGUAGGUGAGAGCCUUCACGGGCGCAUCAUCGACCGAUCCUGAUGUCUUCGGAUGGAUUUGAGUAAGAGCAUAACUGUUCGGACCCGAAAGAUGGUGAACUAUGCGUGGAUAGGGUGAAGCCAGAGGAAACUCUGGUGGAGGCUCGCAGCGGUUCUGACGUGCAAAUCGAUCGUCAAAUCUGCGCAUGGGGGCGAAAGACUUAUCGAACCAUCUAGUAGCUGG
This 1439-nucleotide ribosomal RNA is filed under the name Rosellinia corticium. RNAcentral describes it as "eukaryotic LSU rRNA". The stretch from base 514 to 1439 matches the Rfam family "Eukaryotic large subunit ribosomal RNA", at positions 1 to 954 of the family's 3401-position model. The record is from RNAcentral. Lineage: Eukaryota; Fungi; Ascomycota; Sordariomycetes; Xylariales; Xylariaceae.